GAUGAAGAACGUAGCGAAAUGCGAUACUUGGUGUGAAUUGCAGAAUCCCGUGAACCAUCGAGUCUUUGAACGCAAGUUGCGCCUCAAGCCAUUAGGUUGAGGGCACGUCUGCCUGGGCGUCACAUAUCGUUGCCUGAUGCCAGUUUCCUCGUGAUGGGUGACUGUGCAGGGCGAAUGAUGGCUUCCCGUGAGCAUUGUUGCCUCAUGGUUGGUUGAAAAUUGAGUCCUUGGUAGGGAGCGCCGUGAUAGAUGGUGGUUGAGUGACGAACGAGACCCAAUCAUGUGAGACCCCUACCGAAUUUGGCCUUCAUGACCCACAUGCGUCUUUGGAACGCUCAUGACGAGACCUCAGGUCAGGCGGGGCUACCCGCUGAGUUUAAGCAUAUCAAUAGGGAGGA
This 398-nucleotide unclassified non-coding RNA is filed under the name soil metagenome. RNAcentral describes it as "partial contains 5.8S ribosomal RNA, internal transcribed spacer 2, and large subunit ribosomal RNA". The stretch from base 1 to 122 matches the Rfam family "5.8S ribosomal RNA", at positions 35 to 154 of the family's 154-position model. The record is from RNAcentral.